GCUGCCUGGAGUUUCUGUCUCUCGUUGAGGGUUUUGAGAUCCCUGCCCCGUGGAACCACCUGUGCCACGCGUGUGAGGAAACAUCAUUCCUUAAGCGGAGAAUUUCAGUCCUGAGAUUCAAGAAGACCUUCAGAAGCUUAAAAUGGAACAAAACAACUUGAAAGGAAAUGCAGAAGCCGUGGAUAUUUGUGACGUCAGAAAAGCCACCGAAAGGAUUGAACUUGGGCUGAGAAAACACGCUGAAAAUUAUUUAAAUGUUGUAAAUGGCCAAGAGUUAAAUCUUUCUUCAGCUGGUAAUAAAGAAGUAAAUUCCAAAGAGCCUCCUAAGUGGAAUCCUCCUUCUGGUGCCUGUCAGGAGCAGCUGGUUUUGCCUCGAGUUGAGCCUGUGACUGUGCAGAGGUGCAGCAGAUCAGCCCCUCGUGUGUGCCAGGGCUCUCAGCAGGUGGAAAUGGAUUUUAAAAUUAUGCUUGCCCCAGAGAACACAGAUAAUAAAGCUGGUUUAAAACAUCCCAAUGAUGAGACCAGGCUGCCACUUAUAACUAAGAAAAAAUCUGCUCCUGCCUAUUCCAGGAGUUUUCAACGAGGGCUGAAAGAGUGGCGAGGUUAAAAAGUCGGGGUGUGAGGAGACCUGAGGGGUGACGCGCAAAUCUACCUGGACUUUUUAUUAUCCUGCCAUUCCGGUAGCUGGGAAAAUUAUUAGUCAGGAUUUCAUUGUUUCAGCAAAAAUGAUGUCUUUUCUUGCUCUUUUGGUAUUAUAAAGUUGCUGAUGCUGGAUUUUAUCAUAGAAACUAAGAACAAUUAACUGUUUGCCCUUUUGGACCUUUUUGGGUCUAAUAAUAAUGCUUCAUCCUCUGGUAAGUUCUGUAGUUGUUUUAAAAUGAGGGCUGUAAUUCUGUUUGAAGCACGGAGUGGGCAUCACUUUCUUUUGCAGCCUAUAUCUGGAUAAGAGAUGAAAAAUGAUGAGUGG
Molecule: long non-coding RNA, 967 nt
Filed under: Cyanoderma ruficeps (rufous-capped babbler)
Lineage: Eukaryota; Metazoa; Chordata; Aves; Passeriformes; Timaliidae
Description: lncRNA (ENSCRFG00000004327.1)
Source: RNAcentral